CAGGCCCUGAAGCAGGUGGGACGGCCCAAGGCCAGCACCCAGCGUGGGGAAGCCAGGCCCUGGUACAGGUGAGAUGACACAGGACCAGCACCCAGCACGGGGAAGCCACACCCUGGUACAGGUGGGAUGGCCCAGGACCAGCACCCAGCACGGGGAAGCCACACCCUGGUACAGGUGGGAUGACCCAGGACCAGCACCCAGCACAGGGAAGCCAGGCCCGGGUACAGGUGGGACAACCCAGGACCAGCAACCAGCACGGGGAAGCCAGGCCCAGGUACAGGUGGGAU
Molecule: long non-coding RNA, 287 nt
Organism: Sapajus apella (tufted capuchin)
Lineage: Eukaryota; Metazoa; Chordata; Mammalia; Primates; Cebidae
Exons: 3
Source: RefSeq, a predicted model, not a curated record